CGUGCGCACGCGCCGAAUCCCGCAAGGGAACCGGGGAACCACCAACUUGGGGUGAAUCACGCGGAAGUCGCCGUGGCAGCACGGCGGUUAUACGCGCGUAGGAGACCUUCCUGCUCCGAACCCGUCAGCUAACCCGGUAGGCGAGAAGGAAGGAAAGG
This 158-nucleotide small RNA is filed under the name Streptomyces sp. RNAcentral describes it as "c-di-AMP sequence". It matches the Rfam family "c-di-AMP riboswitch aptamer (ydaO/yuaA leader)". Rfam says of the family: This family represents a conserved RNA structure found upstream of the ydaO and yuaA genes in Bacillus subtilis and related genes in other bacteria. The ydaO/yuaA element is thought to act as a genetic "off" switch for the ydaO and yuaA genes in its native state. Lineage: Bacteria; Bacillati; Actinomycetota; Actinomycetes; Kitasatosporales; Streptomycetaceae. The record is from RNAcentral.